RNAcentral lists this ribosomal RNA (153 nucleotides) under Dromaius novaehollandiae (emu). RNAcentral's name for it is "5.8S ribosomal RNA (ENSDNVG00000005222.1)". It matches the Rfam family "Bacterial large subunit ribosomal RNA", at positions 13 to 177 of the family's 2925-position model. The record is from RNAcentral. Lineage: Eukaryota; Metazoa; Chordata; Aves; Casuariiformes; Dromaiidae.
AAGGGCAUACGGUGGAUGCCUAGGCGCCAAGAGCCGAAGAAGGACGCGGUAAGCUGCGAAAAGCUAGGAUGAGCUGCAAGCAAGCUUUGACUCCUAGAUUUCCGAAUGGGGGAACCCGGCGGUGGUAAUGCACCGUCACACUACUAAGUAGUG